GGAGAGCUCAGGGGUCACCUAUUUGGGGCCAGGAUAAAGGAACAAAUGGAAAGAAGGAUUCGUAAAUCUUGAAGCAGCUCUUAGAGACCACCACAAGCUUAAGACCGAGAAUCACUUCCCAGGAUGGCCUGGGAUACUCAGUAACGAGCCCUCGGCGACCUGGAGCUUCUUGCCUCCAGCCCCCGCCAGCCUCAACACUCUGGGUAAAGUAAAUUAAAAACCCGGACAACCGGAGUCUGUGAGAAUGAAAACGACAUCGGGAUUCCAGACAGCUGACUCGCCCAGAGCUCGGACGGGACCUACGCAGGGCGGGUACGCCAACUCCUACAACGACACGUCACCGUGCUUGGCCGCUUCUCGGUUGGUGGGCGGGGCGACGUCUACUUCCGGAUCCGGCCUCUUCUGGGUAACGCCUCACCUGCGGUUCCCUAGGUUACCUGAUGGCGGGGCGGGGCGAGGCGGGAGGGGCGGAGCGAAGAGAUCCAGAGUUGAGGAGCUAGCUCCUGGUUGGUGGGCACUGUUAAGUGGAAGCGCACCCAGAGACUUCUCGCAACUAGGAAAAAGGGAAAUUUCCUCUGCGUUCUCACACAGGUGGUGACGCAACUUUCUUCAGACUACUGAUAACUCUGGCAGGAGCAAAACCUGAGGGAAGGGAUUUUUCCUAUGCUGCAGACUGCAUUUAACAAUUCGGAGAAGCUGAGGAAAGGGAAAGGUUUUUGUUUUGUGUUUUGUUUUUUUUAAUUAAUAAUGGAUAUGGAUAAUGAAAAGGGUCUGAGAGGGAUGAGCGAUGGCUGCACAAUUCAAUAUACUCUGAUCUUUACACUCAAAAUGGUUAAGAUGAUAAAUUUUAUUAUGUUUGGUUUGUCACAGUUAAAAUCCAGAAUUCUUUUCUCCCCACUCUUUUCUGCUGAAAUAAUUUAGACAUCCGCUUUUCUGAGUUUCUCACAUUGUAUGAAUGAGAUGGCCAGAUUUAACAAACAAAUAUACAGAUAACCAUGUUAAA
Rattus rattus (black rat) is the source of this 1003-nucleotide long non-coding RNA. RefSeq lists it as uncharacterized. The record is from RefSeq and is a predicted model, not a curated record. NCBI's taxonomy places the organism in Eukaryota, Metazoa, Chordata, Mammalia, Rodentia, Muridae. The transcript has 2 exons.